GCUCUUGGGUGACGAGUGGCGGACGGGUGAGUAAUGUCUGGGAAACUGCCCGAUGGAGGGGGAUAACUACUGGAAACGGUAGCUAAUACCGCAUAACGUCGCAAGACCAAAGAGGGGGACCUUCGGGCCUCUUGCCAUCGGAUGUGCCCAGAUGGGAUUAGCUAGUAGGUGGGGUAACGGCUCACCUAGGCGACGAUCCCUAGCUGGUCUGAGAGGAUGACCAGCCACACUGGAACUGAGACACGGUCCAGACUCCUACGGGAGGCAGCAGUGGGGAAUAUUGCACAAUGGGCGCAAGCCUGAUGCAGCCAUGCCGCGUGUAUGAAGAAGGCCUUCGGGUUGUAAAGUACUUUCAGCGAGGAGGAAGGCGUUGUGGUUAAUAACCGCAACGAUUGACGUUACUCGCAGAAGAAGCACCGGCUAACUCCGUGCCAGCAGCCGCGGUAAUACGGAGGGUGCAAGCGUUAAUCGGAAUUACUGGGCGUAAAGCGCACGCAGGCGGUCUGUCAAGUCGGAUGUGAAAUCCCCGGGCUCAACCUGGGAACUGCAUCCGAAACUGGCAGGCUAGAGUCUUGUAGAGGGGGGUAGAAUUCAGGUGUA
Molecule: ribosomal RNA, 600 nt
Filed under: uncultured bacterium
Lineage: Bacteria
Description: bacterial SSU rRNA
Rfam family: Bacterial small subunit ribosomal RNA
Source: RNAcentral